AUUCCCUACGGGGUGCAGCAGUCGCGAAAACUUCACAAUGGGGGAAACCCCGAUGAGGGAAUUCCAAGUGCCAGCACAUUGUGUUGGCUGUUCUUUGGUCUAAAAAACCAGAGAAGUAAGGGCCGGGUAAGACGGGUGCCAGCCGCCGCGGUAAUACCCGCGGCCCGAGUGGUGGUCGAUAUUAUUGAGCCUAAAACGUCCGUAGCCGGUUUUGUAAAUCCUUGGGUAAAUCGACCAGCUUAACUGUUCGAAGUCCGGGGAGACUGCAAGACUUGGGAUCGGGAGAGGUGAGAGGUACUUCUGGGGUAGGGGUAAAAUCCUGUAAUCCUAGAAGGACCACCGGUGGCGAAGGCGUCUCACUAGAACGAAUCCGACGGUGAGGGACGAAGCCCUGGGGCGCAAACGGGAUUAGAUACCCCGGUAGUCCAGGGUGUAAACGCUGCGGGCUUGGUGUUGGGGGUCCUUUGAGGGCGCCCAGUGCCGGAGAGAAGUUGUUAAGCCUGCUGCUUGGGGAGUACGUCCGCAAGGAUGAAACUUAAAGGAAUUGGCGGGGGAGCACCGCAACGGGAGGAGCGUGCGGUUCAAUUGGAUUCAACACCGGACAACUCACCAGGAGCGACGGUUACAUGAAGGCCAGGCUGAUGACCUUGCCUGAUUUUCCGAGAAGUG
This 669-nucleotide ribosomal RNA is filed under the name uncultured archaeon. RNAcentral describes it as "bacterial SSU rRNA". It matches the Rfam family "Archaeal small subunit ribosomal RNA", at positions 318 to 989 of the family's 1478-position model. The record is from RNAcentral.